AAGCUCCACAAAACUAGUGUUAUGCUGAUCCCAAAAAAACAAGGGGCAGACUCUCUUUAGGAUUUCAGGCCAAUCUGGCUACUUCAUAGUCUAAUCAAAAUAUUCUCCAAGAUUCUGGCAAGCCGGCUUGCGCCCAAGCUUGAUGGUUUGGUCGAUCAAUGUCAAAGGGCCUUUAUCAAGAAGUGUUGUAUACAGGAGAAUUUUCUGUACGUGCAUAACAUAGUGCGGAAACUGCACAAAUCGAAGAAACCAUCAAUACUACUAAAAUUGGACAUUGCCAAGGCCUUUGAUUCACUCUCGUGGUCUUACUUAAUGGAGAUGAUGGAGGCGAGAGGUUUUGGCAUGCGCCGGCGUGAAUGGAUUGCCAUGUUACUCAGGACCGCAACCUCCCGGGUGAUCAUAAACGGACAAUACUCGGAGGCAAUACAACAUCGGCAAGGGCUUAGACAAGGGGAUCCGAUUUCUCCUUUCCUUUUCAUUCUCGCCAUGGGCCCGUUGCAAAGAAUGAUGAAUCUGGCCACUGCUAGCGGUGUUCUCUCAAAGCUUCCAGGGCGGACACCGCUAAUGCGAUGCUUGUUCUAUGCCGAUGACGUGGCUUUGUUCAUGAACCCAAAGAAGAGUGUUGCCACAAUGAUCAAGUUGAUACUAUCGUGCUUUGCUCAAGCCUCGGGCCUUCACGUCAAUGCAACCAAGAGCUCGGCCCUCGCCAUCCGAUGCGGCUCACUCAACCUCGACGACAUUCUGGCACCUCUCGGCAUCCUCGCAAGAAUUUCCCAAUCACUUACCUUGGAAUGCCUCUAUCCCUGA
RNAcentral lists this ribosomal RNA (807 nucleotides) under Triticum aestivum (bread wheat). RNAcentral describes it as "partial small subunit ribosomal RNA". Lineage: Eukaryota; Viridiplantae; Streptophyta; Magnoliopsida; Poales; Poaceae. The record is from RNAcentral.